This 253-nucleotide ribosomal RNA is filed under the name uncultured bacterium. RNAcentral's name for it is "partial 16S ribosomal RNA". It matches the Rfam family "Bacterial small subunit ribosomal RNA", at positions 524 to 776 of the family's 1533-position model. The record is from RNAcentral.
UACAGAGGGUGCGAGCGUUGUCCGGAAUCACUGGGCGUAAAGGGCGCGUAGGCGGCGCGGGGAGUCAACGGUGAAAGCUCGGCGCUCAACGCCGAGUCGGCCGUCGAUACUCCCGUGCUUGAGCACUGUAGAGGCAGGUGGAAUUCCGGGUGUAGCGGUGGAAUGCGUAGAGAUCCGGAAGAACACCGGUGGCGAAGGCGGCCUGCUGGGCAGUAGCUGACGCUGAGGCGCGACAGCGUGGGGAGCAAACAGG